This 95-nucleotide small nuclear RNA is filed under the name Carlito syrichta (Philippine tarsier). Lineage: Eukaryota; Metazoa; Chordata; Mammalia; Primates; Tarsiidae. The record is from RNAcentral.
AUAUAAAACUGUAUACAUUUGGAACAAUACAGAGAGGAGUAGCAUGGCCCCUGAGCCAGGAUGGCACACAAAUUUGUGAAGUGUUCCAUAUUUUU